Molecule: non-coding RNA, 396 nt
Organism: Scomber scombrus (Atlantic mackerel)
Lineage: Eukaryota; Metazoa; Chordata; Actinopteri; Scombriformes; Scombridae
Source: the annotation of a RefSeq genome assembly
AUGCUGGGGACCCUCUGCACUCCCAUCACUGCUCUAACAUGUGUGAGUGGUGUGAUGGUGGUGACACAGAAGCCUCCUGUUUUGACAGUGAUGAAAGGAGAAACAGCCACCUUGGACUGUAACCUGGGGACUGUUACUAAUUAUGCUGCUCAUUGGUUUAAACAUAUUCCUGGUGGAGUUCCUCAGUUUGUAUUAUAUUUCCAUCACAGUGAUAGCACUCCAACAUGUUCACAUGUUCACAAAUUCACAUCCAAUCAUCAGUCAGCAUCAGAUUAUCGACUGAUCAUCAGCAAUGUGGAGGAGGGAGACUCAGCAGUCUAUUACUCUAAAACAUGGGAUGGUUCUGUGGAUGAGGUUGUAUUUGGAAAAGACACCAAGCUGAUUGUGACAGUGUGA